This 206-nucleotide ribosomal RNA is filed under the name uncultured bacterium. Its description in RNAcentral is "partial 16S ribosomal RNA". It matches the Rfam family "Bacterial small subunit ribosomal RNA", at positions 1294 to 1500 of the family's 1533-position model. The record is from RNAcentral.
CGGAUCGCAGGCUGCAACCCGCCUGCGUGAAGUUGGAAUCGCUAGUAAUCGCGGAUCAGCAUGCCGCGGUGAAUACGUUCCCGGGCCUUGUACACACCGCCCGUCACACCAUGAGAGUCGGAAACACCCGAAGUCCGUAGCCUAACCGCAAGGGGGCGCGGCCGAAGGUGGGUUCGAUAAUUGGGGUGAAGUCGUAACAAGGUAGC